This 469-nucleotide ribosomal RNA is filed under the name uncultured bacterium. RNAcentral's name for it is "partial 16S ribosomal RNA". It matches the Rfam family "Bacterial small subunit ribosomal RNA", at positions 28 to 507 of the family's 1533-position model. The record is from RNAcentral.
GACGAACGCUGGCGGCGUGCUUAACACAUGCAAGUCGAACGGAAAGGCCCUGCUUGCAGGGUGCUCGAGUGGCGAACGGGUGAGUAACACGUGGGUGAUCUGCCCCUUACUUUGGGAUAAGCCUGGGAAACUGGGUCUAAUACUGGAUAGGACCAUGCUGUAGGUGGUGUGGUGGAAAGAUUAGUUUCGGUAAGGGAUGAGCUCGCGGCCUAUCAGCUUGUUGGUGGGGUAUUGGCCUACCAAGGCGUCGACGGGUAGCCGGCCUGAGAGGGUGGACGGCCACAUUGGGACUGAGAUACGGCCCAGACUCCUACGGGAGGCAGCAGUGGGGAAUAUUGCACAAUGGGCGCAAGCCUGAUGCAGCGACGCCGCGUGGGGGAUGACGGCCUUCGGGUUGUAAACUCCUUUCAGCCAUGACGAAGCCCUUGUGGUGACGGUAGUGGUAGAAGAAGCACCGGCUAACUACGUG